Camelina sativa (false flax) is the source of this 480-nucleotide non-coding RNA. The record is from RefSeq and is a predicted model, not a curated record. Lineage: Eukaryota; Viridiplantae; Streptophyta; Magnoliopsida; Brassicales; Brassicaceae.
AGUCAAUUUCGAUUAUGUUUGAGUCAAUUUACAGUGAUGAACAUUAAUCGAUUUUGCUUGUUUGUUUAUGAGGCUUGUAGGUGAGGUUAUACAUGGGAAAUUAAAUCGGAUAUCCAUCAUCAAACCUGCAUCAUCAAACGAUAGUAAUCACAAGGUUGAACAAGUCAUGGAUGCUUUAUACGACUAUGGGAUGUUACUGAGUCACGAGAGAAGAAAGCAUUGUGUCAAAUGGCCCAUGAAUUUGUACUUCUUGUUUGCUUCGCUAUGAUUAUAUUGCUAGUGGUAUUUAUCUUGUUUAAGUAAAUUAGAUUAUGCUUCUGAUUUGAUCGGUAUGUUGUUUGUUGUGGAUCGGUAUGUUGUGUGUUUUGGAUUGUAGUUUUAAAGACUGAGUAACAUGUUUUUGGAAUUUGGUGUUUGGAAGACAAAGUCACAUGUAUUUGUUUUCUUUGUUUGGACAGAGUCACAAGAAUUUUUUCAGUU